Molecule: long non-coding RNA, 683 nt
Organism: Solanum pennellii
Lineage: Eukaryota; Viridiplantae; Streptophyta; Magnoliopsida; Solanales; Solanaceae
Exons: 2
Source: RefSeq, a predicted model, not a curated record
AGAUAGGUGAAAUCAUGGUCCUAGUACAUAGUCUACGGUUGACUAGUACGAACCGUAGAAAGACGGUCCGUAGGUUGAGUCGAUAAUUAUUUUUGAAAGGCUUUUGGGGUUUUUUUCCUAAUUGUUUUAAAUCAAACUAUGUCAUUUUACCUUCUAUCCUAAGCUCUAGUUUUUCAAUUCGCAAUUUUAUCAUUUUUUGUUCGUUCUCAUUUUAAAUUUUCCAAAACAACUCCCCAAAUUCUCUCAAGACUAAUGAAGAAUAAAAAUAACUAGGGUUCCAUUGAGAUCUUCAAUUCUCUAUCAUUUUUGGCUUAAAGGAUCAAGGUAUGUGGUUUUAAACCAUGGAGCCCUUUCCUCCAUGGAUCCAAUGAUUAUGGGCUUCUUGGGAUCCUAUAUGCCAGUUACACCUAAGGUCUACUUUGGAUCGUGAAAAAUUUUAACGCACCUUGAUUAAUUCCACAAGAUAUGUGCCACUUCUCACCAACAACAUGUAGCAAAUAACUUUGUCCAACAAAAUUAGGACAAUAAGAAGAUUCACCUAGUAGUUUUGUUUUCAUUGAGAUUUAAACUGAGACUUUGGUUCUCAACCAUUUCAUUGACCACUAGGACAUACCCUUGGGUGACUUAAAUUGUUGUUGCUAGUUCAAUUUUCGUGCAAUCAACGUUUAAAUACCUUAAAAUUA